GGCAGGCUUAACACAUGCAAGUUGAACGUGAUUUGUGGGGUGCUUGCACCGAGCAAUGAAAGUAGCGCACUGGUGAGUAACACGUGGGAACGUACCUUUUGGUGGGGGACAACAGUUGGAAACGACUGCUAAUACCGCAUAAGGCCCUGAGGGGGAAAGAUUAAUCGCCGAAAGAACGGCCCGCGGAAGAUUAGGUAGUUGGUGGGGUAACGGCCUACCAAGCCGACGAUCUAUAGCUGGUCUGAGAGGACGAUCAGCCACAUUGGAACUGAGACACGGUCCAAACUCCUACGGGAGGCAGCAGUGAGGAAUAUUGGGCAAUGGAGGCAACUCUGACCCAGCCAUGCCGCGUGAGUGAAGAAGGUUUUCGGAUUGUAAAGCUCUUUCGGGUGUGACGAUGAUGACGGUAGCACCUAAAGAAGCCCCGGCUAACUUCGUGCCAGCAGCCGCGGUAAUACGAAGGGGGCAAGCGUUGUUCGGAAUUACUGGGCGUAAAGGGAGUGUAGGCGGUUAUGUAAGAUAGUGGUGAAAUCCCAGAGCUUAACUUUGGAAUUGCCAUUAUGACUAUGUGGCUAGAAUUACAGAGAGGAUAGUGGAAUACCCAGUGUAGAGGUGAAAUUCGUAGAUAUUGGGUAGAACACCAGUGGCGAAGGCGACUAUCUGGCUGUAUAUUGACGCUGAGGCUCGAAAGCAUGGGGAUCAAACAGGAUUAGAUACCCUGGUAGUCCAUGCUGUAAACGAUGAGUGCUUGUUGUCGGUGUAAAAUCGGUGACGAAGUUAACGCGUUAAGCACUCCGCCUGGGGA
This 805-nucleotide ribosomal RNA is filed under the name uncultured bacterium. RNAcentral describes it as "bacterial SSU rRNA". It matches the Rfam family "Bacterial small subunit ribosomal RNA", at positions 41 to 879 of the family's 1533-position model. The record is from RNAcentral.